Molecule: unclassified non-coding RNA, 200 nt
Filed under: soil metagenome
Description: partial contains internal transcribed spacer 2 and large subunit ribosomal RNA
Source: RNAcentral
CCUCUCAAGCCUGGCUUGUUGUUGGACUUCAGGUCCGGGCUCGCCCCGACCGGUCCCAAAAGUAAUGACGGCGUCCGUGGGACUCUCGGUGCAACGAGCUUUCUUAAGCACGCACAGAGUCGAAAGGUCCCCCGGCACGGUCUUUUAACCAUUUUUCUAAGGUUGACCUCGGAUCAGGUAGGAAUACCCGCUGAACUUAA